RNAcentral lists this ribosomal RNA (1503 nucleotides) under uncultured bacterium. Its description in RNAcentral is "16S ribosomal RNA". It matches the Rfam family "Bacterial small subunit ribosomal RNA". The record is from RNAcentral.
UAGAGUUUGAUCAUGGCUCAGGAUGAACGCUAGCGACAGGCCUAACACAUGCAAGUCGAGGGGCAUCGGGGCGAGGAGCAAUCCUUGCCGCCGGCGACCGGCGCACGGGUGAGUAACGCGUAUGCGACCUGCCCGUUGCAGGGGGAUAAUCGGGAGAAAUCCCGUCUAAUACCGCGUAAUGCCGCGGGGCUGCAUGGCCCUGCGGCCAAAGGGAGCGAUUCCGGCAACGGAUGGGCAUGCGGCGCAUUAGCUAGACGGCGGGGUGACGGACCACCAAGACGACGAUGUCUAGGGGUUCUGAGAGGAAGGUCCCCCACACUGGUACUGAGACACGGACCAGACUCCUACGGGAGGCAGCAGUGAGGAAUAUUGGUCAAUGGGCGCGAGCCUGAACCAGCCAAGUCGCGUGAGGGAUGACGGCCCUACGGGUUGUAAACCUCUUUUGUCGGGGAGCAAAUUCCGCCACGUGUGGCGGAGUCGAGAGUACCCGAAGAAAAAGCAUCGGCUAACUCCGUGCCAGCAGCCGCGGUAAUACGGAGGAUGCGAGCGUUAUCCGGAUUUAUUGGGUUUAAAGGGUGCGUAGGCGGACUGUCAAGUCAGCGGUAAAAUACGGGGGCUCAACCUCCGCCCGCCGUUGAAACUGACGGUCUUGAGUGGGCGAGAAGUAUGCGGAAUGCGUGGUGUAGCGGUGAAAUGCAUAGAUAUCACGCAGAACUCCGAUUGCGAAGGCAGCAUACCGGCGCUCAACUGACGCUCAUGCACGAAAGUGUGGGUAUCGAACAGGAUUAGAUACCCUGGUAGUCCACACAGUAAACGAUGAAUACUAAUUGUUCGGGGAGAAUGAUCCCUGAGUGAUACAGCGAAAGCGUUAAGUAUUCCACCUGGGGAGUACGCCGGCAACGGUGAAACUCAAAGGAAUUGACGGGGGCCCGCACAAGCGGAGGAACAUGUGGUUUAAUUCGAUGAUACACGAGGAACCUUACCCGGGCUCAAACGACACAGGAAUACUUUUGAAAGGAGGUAGCUCUACGGAGUCUGUGUCGAGGUGCUGCAUGGUUGUCGUCAGCUCGUGCCGUGAGGUGUCGGCUUAAGUGCCAUAACGAGCGCAACCCCCAUCGCCAGUUACCAGCAAGUCAAGUUGGGGACUCUGGCGAGACUGCCGGCGCAAGCUGUGAGGAAGGCGGGGAUGACGUCAAAUCAGCACGGCCCUUACGUCCGGGGCGACACACGUGUUACAAUGGCAGGUACAGAGAGAAGCAAUGCGGCGACGCAAAGCGGAACUUGAAAGCCUGUCUCAGUUCGGAUUGGAGUCUGCAACUCGACUCCAUGAAGCUGGAUUCGCUAGUAAUCGCGCAUCAGCCAUGGCGCGGUGAAUACGUUCCCGGGCCUUGUACACACCGCCCGUCAAGCCAUGGAAGCCGGGAGUGCCUGAAGUGUGCAACCGCAAGGAGCGCCCUAAGGUAAAACUGGUGACUGGGGCUAAGUCGUAACAAGGUAACCGUA